CCUACGGGUGGCAGCAGUGAGGAAUAUUGGUCAAUGGUCGGGAGACUGAACCAGCCAAGCCGCGUGAGGGAUGAAGGUACAGAGUAUCGUAAACCUCUUUUGUCAGGGAACAAAGGCAGGGACGUGUCCCCGGAUGCGUGUACCUGAAGAAAAAGCAUCGGCUAACUCCGUGACAGCAGCCGCGGUAAUACGGAGGGUGCGAGCGUUAUCCGGAUUUAUUGGGGUUAAAGGGUGCGGAGGCGGUCAGUUAAGUCAGCGGGUAAAGACACGGGGUCAAACCCGGGCCGGCGUUUGAAACUGGCAGGCUCGAGUUGGGGAGAGGUAUGCGGAAUGCGCGGUGUAGCGGUGAAAUGCAUAGAUAUCGCGCAGAACUCCGAUUGCGAAGGCAGCAUGCCGGCUCCACACUGACGCUGAGGCACGAAAGCGUGGGUAUCGAACAGGAUUAGAUACCCGAGUAGUC
RNAcentral lists this ribosomal RNA (460 nucleotides) under uncultured bacterium. RNAcentral's name for it is "partial 16S ribosomal RNA". It matches the Rfam family "Bacterial small subunit ribosomal RNA", at positions 338 to 795 of the family's 1533-position model. The record is from RNAcentral.